This 3016-nucleotide long non-coding RNA is filed under the name Mytilus galloprovincialis (Mediterranean mussel). Lineage: Eukaryota; Metazoa; Mollusca; Bivalvia; Mytilida; Mytilidae. The record is from RNAcentral.
CAUAUCUACAAAUACUUGAAUGCGAUUGGUUGCUAGAACAUUUGUCCUUGGUUUAUUCUUUAAUAGACAUUGCUGAGACUACUUUCUUAACUUAUGUAAAAACUACGGUAUGUUGAUUUCACUGUUAUGUAUUUGUUCAUUGAAAAGAAUUCUGGAGUUUCCUCCAAGAAAGUUGAGAUCUAUAAAAAUAACGAAUGCUUGAUUUGCUAGCUAUUAGAGGAUUUAACAAACUUUUUGUGUGUGUGUUAACUGGACCCGUAACUCACAAAUUUAGUUAAAGUCCUUCAGAUAAUUAUUCAGUUUAUGAGUUAUAUGACUCAGUUAACAACUUGAUAACCUCUAGAAAAAUAUAUGUUUAAUCCUUUAAAAGAGAUCUGUUACAUUCAUAUAUAUUGAUACUGUCCCAUUUUUUUUAAAAUUAUUUUUCAUAAGUUUGAAAAAUAUGUUUUGGUUUCUUUUAAAAUGAAUGCUGCCAUUUUUGUUUAUUCUACAUAUUGAUUUUAUGACAUAAGUAUUAAUAUAUUACCCUCCACUCAUUAAACAUUAUUGAAGUUUUUGCAGAAGUGUCUCUACUAAUUGUUGAGGGGUCGAAGGGCCUUUUUCAUGAGAUAUUUAAUGAGCAGGAAUUAAGGAAUGACUAGUUCAAUCAUUGGAAAUAUUUGAUUUUAAGAUUUUAUAUCAUGAUGCUUGAUAUAACACAUUAUUUUAACUAGAAGUGGGAAUUUGACAUUUAUUUUCCUUGGGAAAUGGGAUGAGACCCAACCUACCACCCCUUUUUGCUGUAUCAAAAAUAGGCAUUACAAAACUUGUAGAAACAAAUCUAUUAUACAGUAUUUUGUUUGUUAGUUGAAAGUUAUUAUAUUUGUAACUUCUAUGUCAUUUGGUCUCUUGUGAAGAGUUGUCUCAUUGGCAAUCAUACCACAUCUUUUUAUUUUUAUGUUGUGUUGUUAGAUUGCCGUCGAUAUUGUAUCAUUGAUGUAUUUUGUAUUUUUUCAUAAUCAUAAUUUGUAUUUUGUAUUUUAUUUAAUUGUGCAAUUAGGUUAGAUAGCUUUGUUUUUAUUAUAUAUUUGUAUGCAAUAGUAAUUAUUUAGAGUACGGUGCUGGCCUCAAAAAGAGGAAGUUCAAUGACCAAUUCAUGCAAUCUGCUUAAACUGUGAGCCUGUUCACUUAUUAAUCAUACUAUUGUGCCCUUGUUCCACCUCAUAGUGCAGGAUUGAUUGAUAAAACUGAGAAUGGAAAUAGGGAAUGAUUGCUUUACAUUGCAUUAGUGCUAAAAGGCUAUUUCCCCAGUAAUUUAUAUUAAUUUUCGUAAUUUUUUUCCAUAAUAACUUUCAUUUAUUUUAUACUAAUAAAGAUAAAUUGCCUAUGAUGAAUAUUGAUAUUUUAAUAAACGAGGUUGCUGGUUCUUUUUAAAGAUGGAUGACCAUAUUGUUUGGGCAAGUUAUUUUUAUUAACUUUUGCUUUUGUUUCAUAAUCAUGCUAUAACAAUUUAAGGUAUAAGAAUAGAAUACCAUAGAACAUAAUUUAAUGUAGGAAUCUAGGUAUGAUCUGAUUUUUUUUUUAAAAGAUAUGGAGUUAUUUCCCUUACAAUGUACUUUUCUGUAACAAGUUUUUCAUCCAGUAUACUCCUUUAUACAAAUACCUUUCAGCUUUUGCAUAUGUUUUUUUUCUAGUCUUAACUUAAGUGCCAUAAUGUUGAAAAUUUUUAUAAUGAAUCUUUAAACAAUUGUUUUUUUUUUAAAUGAAGUCUUUUAAAGGCUUAGUGCCAUAGCACUUGAAAUUAUUUAUUGUGUAACUUUGAAUCAUUUUUAAAAAAAUGAAGUCUUUCAAAGACAUGUAUUACUGUAUGAGCCUUGAUAUAUACUAUACAUAUAUAUAUAUGUAUGUCUUUAAUUAUGUUUUGCUUUAAGCCUGUGUUCCAUGGAUUGUUUUGGAAAUGUGUUGCCAUAGAUUUGUGUUCUAUAUAUUGUUAAGCUUUAUCUUUACAUGAUACAAAUUCUAUAUUUUUAUUCUGUGGUAUUUAAAAUCAAACAUUUAAGACUCACUUUAUGACUUACAACGAUCUGCUAUAUUUUUUUUUCUGAGAAUUUGUAAAUUUAUAUAUAUUUUAUUUUUAUUCCUGCUAGAAGCCAGGAGUUAGUUUCACAAAACAUCUUAUGACUAAGAUUGAUCAUAAAUAUACUGAAUUGGAUAUGACUUACGAUCAAUUUUAGUCGUAAGUUUUUUUUGUGAAAUCGACUACUGGUACUAUAAUAAUUUUAAUUGUUAAUCAUUGGCAUAAAUCAAAAAAAGAUCUUUUUGUAAUGGCCAAAUAAAUCAUUGCCUUUGUAUUUUUCAAUAAAUUUUAAACACUUACUAUGAAAUUACAAAAAGGGAGAUAAUUUUAAAUUGGUUGAAUAAAUAUUUUUAUUUCUUACUGAGACUAGCAUAAACACAUUUCACUUUAUUCUCACUUGAAUUAACCAUAUUCUGGCUAUUCUACUUAUUUUCUGACAUGUUUAUUUUGAAAUAACUGUUUUCUGAUAUUGUUAUAGUUAAAUUUAAGAAUUAGUUAAGUAAAAGGAUCUACAAAACCUUUAAACUAUGAAAUCAUAUCUAUUUUAAAACCAUGAUAAUAAAAUCAAGUUCAGAUGUUGCCUGCCUGAAAAACAUUUUCACCUAAAAAGCAUUCCAUAUACCAAAUAUAGGUAACCUAUAACUUAUAGUAUCUGAGUAACAGGCCAAAAGACAAAAAAGGCCAAUGAACAAUGAACAACUAACCGAAGACAGCUAGCCUUUGAAUUGAUAUAAAGAUUAAUAUUUUUCUACAAAUUUUAUAUUUUUCUAAAUUUCUUUUGAUUUUUAUUGAAAUCAAUCCAGCUCAACUUUUGCUACUUUUAAAAUACUGCAGAAAAUACCCAUAUUGCAAUUAAAGGUUGUUAUGAUUUGUAAACUUGUUUAAUUUUUGUUGAUAUGUUUACUGGUGGAAAGUUUUAUUUACUGCUAUGUUAACUGCUUGUUCAAUAAAGUAUAACGC